CACGUAUCUGCUCCCUACCUUGAAGAAGAACAAGCCCACAAUUGGACAGAAGCUAGGCGUUUUGUCCCUUCCUCCUACAAAGGAGCUGGCAUAGGUCUGGGCUCAACAGAAGGCAUGGAGAGCUUAUCCCAGCAAGAGUUCAGGCCACAAACACACUCAGUGACUCGCAGGGAAGGAAGGAGCCUGGUUCAGCUCUGUCUUAACAGCAAUACACCUCCACAGUCCUCUGGCAUGGGAUUUGUUAGAUUUGGGUCACAAGCCCCAGCAAGUAUGAUUCUCCGUGUAUUUGCGACCAACUUAUUAUGAAGCUGUGCUGGUUUUCAACAGAUUGGCUAUAAUUUGGCUUUAAGAACAACUGCUACUUUGAUAAUAACUGAUACGUUACACUGUAAAGUGAUGAAUACAAUAUGUACACCACUCAAUUAUAUGCUCAUCUUGAUGUCUUUAUGAGAAUUUGCUUGGGAAAAAAUGGUUUUAACGUUGUAUUUUUAGAACAGAAAAUGUGUAACUGUGACCAAAAUAAAACAGACACUUAAAGCGAACCAACUGCCUAAAGCUGGUGAAGAAGACAUGACCAUAUCUCAAGUGACUCCUACACUUCCCACAGCAUAGCAAAAGUACUAUUUUUCUGUCCAAGUGUAGGCGUUAACAGGUUGGUUAAAACCAUAAUAUAAAUAGUCACAUGUAGCCGCAUCAAACGACAAAAAUCCGAUAUUUGACUAAUUGACUAUGUUAGUUUAGUUGUUUAUGUGAGAAUGUGUUAAAAGCAUCAUUUCUUAUAACAUUUAUUUGGAGUCUGAGGUGACUGUCUGUGUUAGUGUUGGGUAAGAAAAGUUGAUUUGAGAUCUUUCCUCAAAUAGACCUAAUCGAUAACACAUUCAGCAUGAAAUGGAAGUGAGUAUUAAGAAAACAGGGAGAUAGAAUAAACACCGAUGUGUUGAUUACCUGUCACAUGGCCCAGCUGGUCUGAGGUCUGUGUAAACAGUCAAAUAUUCUAACAUGAAAAGUCCUGAGAGAACUACAGUGAGUCAACAAAUGGUGCAAUCUAUGAUAAAGUGGGGUGAAAGUGUGUGUGUGUGUGUGUGUGUGUGUGUGUGAGAGAGAGAUAGAGAGAGAGAGAAGGGGAAAAGGUUAUUUACAUUAAAUUAUGUGAAUUUAGCACACUUUAUUUAUUUAAAUAAUUCACUGGCCAUGGUCUUUAAAAGGAUCAUGUGGUGCGACCAUGAUUUAGCCACCAAAUAAUAUAUUUCCUUAAUAUGGUAAAAAAAAUUUUUACAAAGUAUUAGACAUAACUAUGCAUUACUUAUGAAUUUCAGUAAGUCAGCAACAUACAUUUGUCUUGUAACUAAACCGCUUCCCAAUUUAUAAACUUUACAGACUUGUUACCAACAUAAAACGAAUUGUACAAGACUAAUAUUCACUUGAGCAUAGUGUGUCAAUUAAUAACAUUAGCCACAGAACCUACAUUUCUUAUUUUGAAUUGUAAUAUUCUUAUUGCAAUUACUGCUUAUGCCACAUGAUGGGUGAUCACACCAAAUGAUGAGAAGAGCAUGCAUGGUGUUAAAGAACACGCAAUGAGUGUUAAAAUCACUUUCUACUUUCCAUGGAUGGAGGUGUAAAGUCUAACACAGCCUUAGCCAUCUUUUUUCUCUCCCUGUAACUUGUGGAUGCAGCCCUCCAUUUCUCUUUCUGCUACUCCCUGCCUGUCUUUAGCAGGUCACUAUUCUUCACUGAUAGCUAAAACAAUAGCAUACAAUGUUUUGACGUAAAUUAGAUAUGAAAGAGGCCAAUUAAAAUGCAUGGCAUGAUAGAUAAGAACAGAAGCUGUGCCCAUGUAAUGGAAAACCAAAUUCAUCUUGCGUUUUUGAAACAAGAGGUUGACGUAUCAUGUAAAACAUUGUUAAAGUUUCUUUCACCCCCAAUUCAUACAGUCAAUACAGUAUAUGGAAGCUAAACUGCAAAAACAGCCCUUCAAUUAUUCAUAUGUUGUGACUCAUGUAUAAAUCACCUUUUUUUCAUGACAAUAGCAGGUCAGUCCCACCUAAUUAAGAUGAAACGAUAAUGAAUGUUUCAUCCUAUCCCUAGCGUAAUACAGAACAACUGUCUGAACCAUCUGAAGGUGUUUAUUAUAUACUGAUCACAAAUUCACAGUAAAAAACAAACAAACAAAAACCCAAUAGGAUUUUCACGUAGGCUUUUGGAUUAUCACAAAAAACAAUCUCUGUGAUCCACAAACGUUUACAAUACUAACACGUUUUGACCAUUAAGAUAAUUUUCAAUAAUGAAGACAACUUUUAUGAAGUUUGAAGCCUAAAUACGAUCCCCAGAAAUAAACAGCUAACCGUACACUAUAAACAAAUUACACCACGGUCGCUCGACUUCAACGUCACCAUCACCAAGCUUCAGACAAAUUUCCAAACUUGAUUCAAAAACAUUUUCCACAAUACGGAUUUACUCUGUGAAUGAAUCUUCAUCCACCUUUUUUUUUUUGGUAAUUGUGCACAGCACACCUGAACCAGUUUAUCUGCAAAGACGUUUCCUGUUCGGCGUGAUGACGUUUAAUGUCCCUGACAACAUCUGUAGUCCCAUUUAGCAACAUGUUAGUGUCAUGAUAUUCCCUCGGCCAAGCGCUGGAGCUGGCAUCGUGCUCUGAAACCCGAAGCGAAGCUCACAGCACAAGCGCUAAAAUGCUAACUAAUUUCUGGGUUUUGGCAUACAAAAUGACGUCAUCCCCGUGCCACUCUAUGGUUGUAAGUGGCUGCAAGUUUAGGAAGCGCUUGAUUUGAUAUGCAGCACUGUUUUCUAUGAGCGGAGGAUGAACUUUAAACAUCAAUAUCACAGUUGAUCAUAUUCAUGUAAUUGUGGGCAGUCAAAAUCAUAAUUGAGAUCAAUAUUCGAUUAAUUGUGCAGCCCUAGUUAGAAGAGUUCUCAUCAUAAUCAGCCAAUUAGAAAUAUAAUACGGCAAUGUUAACAUCGUAUGUUUUUUUUUAAAUAUAUGUCAAACCUUUCUUUUCUUUUAGCAAGAUACUCAGCUCUUGCUUUAGGAUCAGAGUUAAUCCACUGCCUGUGGCAGACAGUUUUUUCUUUGCUACUCAGUUGCAUCUAGACAACAGUUUUCUGUUUUCUCAUAAAAUUGUACAGAAUAUAAAUAAAAUAUUUGUCUACAAAUCUGGCUUGAAAUUGCAGGAGAAAGACGUAUGUAUUACAGACAGUGGUCGCACCACAUGAUUUUUGGUCACACUACAUGAUAUUUUCAAGUUUCAAUUAAAGUCUAUUAUAAAAUCUGUAAAAGAUAUAGAUUUAUAGAUAUAAUUUCGUUUUCAUGAGGUCUUACCACAUGACAGCCAUAUAUAUGGCAACUAUAGAACAGUCUAACAAACUAGAUCUAGUCUAAACAAGACUAGAUGUUUCCAAGGAUCAUUGGCAAAUUGUGCUAUGAAGUGACUUUUUGUCAUUGAAUUAUUUUCAGUAUAAAAGUCUCAAAAUGGCCUUUUCAUGAUGGUUGCACCAAAUGAUAUUUCAUAAAAUACAUGACCUCUAACAUCACAGUGAAUUAUGAAACAGCUAUAAAUGCUUUGCAGUUAUGUUCACUAAUGUAAAAUACUUUUGAAAUUAUACUAAAUAUGGCAAAAUUGAAAUAUACAAAAAUGUAGUGUUAAACAAGUUUUCAGAAUUGCACUAAUAUUAAGGCAGUUACACCACAUGAUAAUUUGACUAACUAAUAAAAGAAAAAUGACCAAUACAUAUUGUGUACAUAUAUGAGAGCUAAUAGAUAUGUAUGGUGUUUUGUUAUGCAUUUGAAAGUCAGAAAAUCUCUGUCAUGUCAUCAACUGAAAUAUUUUAGUUCCUUAUAUGCUACCAAAGCCUAAAGGAAGUGCUCACUGUUAACUUUGAAGAAAUCCAAAGCAAGUGGCAAGGUCAGUAUAACUCUCUACCAAUCCCCAACAUAAAAUAAUCAACAGAGCAGAGGGUUCUGAUAACAGAGACAGAAGCAUAUGUAACACGCUCACACACACACACACACACACACACACACACACACUAUUAACAUUAGCAUUUACUUCAUCAAAUAAUAGUAACCAGGAAAAUAAGCAGAAGCAAAAUCUGCUCACAAUUACUUCUUGUUCUACUGCCAACGCAGAGUAGUAGAUGAAGAAGUAGGGAUGUACCUUGUAAAUGAGAGUCAAACUGCAAUCUUGUGCAGUGGUAGGUGUGCCAAGUGGCUAGCACCUUCUGCUAUUCAUUACUUCUGUGCUUACAAGCUCCUGCUUGCAUGGGUAUUUACGUUGUAUAAAAGAAUGCAAGUAUUGUGUAAUAAUAAAUAUAGCUGGCAUGUUAAGAGAUUAAGCCCUACCAAGUUGCAAAUGAACUCAAAGCUUGUUUGUUAACAUAUGUCAUGGUGAUACACAUAAUUUAUAGAACAUAAUAUUUUCUGUAUACAUGUAUAUAUGUGUGUGUGUGUGUGAGAUAUAUAUAUAUAUACAUACACACACACACACACACACACACACACACACACAUACAUACAUGCAUACACACACACACACACACACACACAUACCUAUACACACACAUACAGGUGCAUCUCAAAAAAUUUGAAUAUCAGGGAAAAGUUUGUUUUUUUCUGUAAUUUAAUUUAAAAAGUGGAACUUUUAUAUAUUCUAGAUUCAAGCCUUUUUUUGUUUUAAUCUUGAUGAUUACGGCUUACAGCUCAUGGAAAUCAAAAAUCCAGUAUCUCAAAAUAUUGGAAUAAAGAAUUUAUAAUACAGAAAUGUCCACCUGAGAAGAAGAGCUCUAAUCAGAUCAUUAACUCAAAACACCUGAAACAAAACUCUUAGUGAGAAUUUAAUCUCUUAGACAUAUUGCUAUUUGCACUUCUGGUUAGAUGCUAACUACAUUUCAUGGGCUCUGUACUUGUACUCUGCACAAUGACAGUAAAGUUGAACCUAAUCUAAUCUCAUCUAAUCUAAACAAUUUAUGCUGUUGGGCGACUGUGACUCAGGUGGUAGAGCGGGUUGUCCACUAAUCGUAGGGUUGGUGGUUCGAUUUCCGGCCCACAUGACUCCACAUGCCGAAGUGUUCUUGGGCAAGACACUGAACCCCAAUGGCAAGUUAGCGCCUUGCAUGGCAACUCUGCUACCAUUGAUGUGUGAGUGUGUGUGUGAAUGGGUGAAUGAGACACAGUGUAAAGUGCUUUGGAACCACUAAGGUUAAAAAAGCGCUAUAUAAGUGCAGACAAUUUACCAUUACACAUUCAGUGCUUGGGUCCCUAAUCAUAAUAACAAUUUCGUUGUUUUUGUUGUUGUUGUUAGAUCUGAACAUCAUGUAAGAGUUUAGAAAGCAGAAAGAGCAACCAGGACAAAACAACUCAGCUUGUUUAAUGCAUCCUGUCAAAUCCCUCAAAACUCUGGAUGAGGUCUUCAACGCUAAGCAGACACCUUCCCUACACUUGAUCCUUAAAAUGAUUCUAGGUAAGCCAGAGAUGCUGCAGACACACAGCGAUUAUAUGAUGUCUGAGAAUUUGUGAUUGGAAAAGGUUUUAGCUCGAUUGGCAGAAGAGGCAGGUUUCAUUCCACAGCUACAGUAUCAGACAGGAGGACUGACUCUCCCUCUUCCAGCCCCACAGGCAGACAGGCAGUGCAAGAAAAGGAAGGGAGUGAGGAAACAACUCACUGUCUUUCAAGGUCACUGUAAACUCAAUGCCAGGGCUACCCCAUGUUUAUAAGACUUAGCGUGGGCUGGCGAGACGUGCAUGUGCGCAUGUGAAUGACUCGAGUGGCUGAAUUAUAUGCAAAAUAGACAAGAAAAGCGUCUCAACAAUAUUCCAUGCACUUUUAAACUAGCUGCCGUUCUUAAAUGGGAAUAGGCAGAGACAUCAACUCAUAUUUAGAGUUGUUAAGUAUGUAAACUAUAACCUUGUCUAGGCCCACUGCCCAGUUCCUGGUGUUCCUGGUGUUUUCAUGUGUGUUCAUCAGAUAUCAUGUCAUCAUGUCAUAAACUAUUCCAGACUGUAAUAGCACCUGCCAGGACAGUUUAGAGAGGACUGAAACAAAGGAGAUCUAUCCUGUAUCAUCACUGUCCUGUGAGGGAACUGACAUUUCCUGGCACAUGGAGCAGAUGAACCUGAAAAACAAACUGUAUCAGAGACUAAAAUCUCUGUGCUAUGAUGUUUGGUUGUUUCAGCUGUGCACUGUGCUCCUAGAAGUGCAGCAGGAGGAAACAGAAAGAGAAAGAAAGAAAGAAAGAAAGAAAGAAAGUAAGAAAGGAGGAAAGUGUUGCCCAUAAACCAGCAGUUUAACGUUUAAGUCUCUAAACACACUCACAGAGAGCAAGUUGUCUACGAUUGCCACUCCUUUCCUGCUUGUCAUUUCUGGUUAUGCCAUUCUGUCUGUUUUCACACCCACAGACUAACACAAGCACCACUCGUAGUGCGGCUGUAUAUACACUCAGAGAGUGAAAGAUUUGCCUUCAAAAAAAAAAAAAAAAAAAAAAAAAAAAAGCAGAUUACAUACCAGCCUGGCUUCACUGGCUCCUCAGUCAUCUGCUGCGUUCCUCGGUGCUUGCACUUCCUUUGUCCAUUUCGAGGGAGUCAAGAAUACGAGAGACGAAACUGCCUAGUGAAACUCCCAUCAAUCAGAAGACACUCGCUGAUAGAGCGUAUGCUAGGAGACCUACUGAUGUAAGCUAGUCACCAGAGAAAAUACCCAAUCGUGACGCAUAUCCAGGAACAAAAAUAGCACUGGGGCCCCUAGAGGGAUUAUACAACAGGCUACGUUCAGACACACUUUCAGCGCUCGGGCAGCCUCUUGCACUCUGCUGGUUCUGUUUGCUUGCGCAAAUGAAGUUUACAUUUUUGUGAAGCGAGACAUGACCGCAAAUAGACGAGAUCUAGGGAACGAAGCACAGACUGAAAGCGGCAUUUGAGUGUGUGUGUUUGUGCUUGUGUGUAUGUGUGUGUAUGUGUGUGUAUGUAUGUGUGUGUGUGUGUGUGUGUGUGUGUGUGUGGUUUAGACACAGUGCCUUAUCAGACCAAACUUUAACCAUAUGGCCUCAGUGCCUUUGACCUGGGGUUGUCCAUGGCAUGCCAAGCAGGGCAUAACAACAAGGCAACACUUCCUCUUCCUGCCCUCCCUCAUUUAUAGCUCUCCCUCAGCACUAUAAAUAGCUCACCAGGCCAACGUGUGCAAAAUUCCUUCACAGUUGUGCUUUCUCCUUUCUAUUCCUGGCUGGCUGGACUCUUAUAUGAUUGAUUUGUGGAUCACAGGAAUGUGUUGUGUAGGUGUUUGUGCAGGAGAGCGUAUGGGGGGGAAAGUAGCAGCACUGUGACACCAUUCAUACUAGGGUUACGAGAAUGAGUUUCUAACCAACGCUCCGCUGCUGAGGAUUUUCAUUCAUCUACAGUAUGUUAAUGCACUGUAUUUACCUUUAUCAUACUGUAUCUCACAGUAACUGUUGAUAUGGUGAUGUUCUGGUGUUGAGAUUUUAUUUAGCAUUUCAAAAGGAGUUUGUAACAAUCAGAGGUGAAACUGUAACUAAGUUUUCUGCCAUGUUCCAGAAAAACCUCUCAUGUCACCUUAAAACCUACUAAAAGAUCUGUUUUGUGUGCCAGUCUUGUAGAUUCACGGACACUUUCGAAUGUAAGGUCAGAGUUUUCGAUUUGUGAUGCGGCUCAUGACAACAUUCACAACGACGGUGGACGGUUUAAAGGGUUACAAGGCUCAUCAGUGUGUUUCUGUGUUUGUCGCUGUGCGUGAAAUCGCUAAACAUUUUACAGAUUGACUUAGAAACCUGACAGACAAGGAUGUUUUGGCUCUGACACACACACACACACACACACAAAAUCACAAGUUGAGUUUAAAACAUAUCACACCACCCAGUGUGGAUUAUGUUCCUACAACACGCACGGUGACGUUUUAUUCCUCAUGGACUAUUGUCUGAAGCUGGACGUGACAAAGGAACGAGCCGCACCGCCUAACUUUUUGAAAUCAAAAGUGUCAAGAAAUGCAAAAGAUUUAUUAGUCAUGAGUGACGGCAGUGUAGGAGUCACCAGGUAAUAAAACUGCAACUGAUUCAUACAAUUACCACGACACUCUUUCCACAAAACCAACUAUAUUUGCAAGCACACCGCUUUAGACCAGUGUUUCCCAACCGGGGUGCCAUCUAAUGAGAGCAGGGGUGGAGUGUAAAAAUCCUUCAAACAUUUCUAAAAUGCUGAAAUGUGUAUAAAACAUUUAAUAUAUAUAAUAAAUAUCUGAUGUCUGAAAUAAUAACACAGACACAGAAAUAAGACAAACACACACGCAUAAUAAUAAUAAAAAUAAAUUAUAUAUUAAAAAAAUUAGAAUUCCCUCCUCCUCGAAUCCCCUUGCUGACCUGUCAGCAGCACGUCAACAUCAGUAUGCGUAACAUAUGCGUGUGUUUUAUCCUAAUAAUUAGCGUGUGAUGAUGCAUGUGUAGUGCAAAAGAAUAUGGACAGAUUUCUUAAAAGAAAAGCUCCAGAUGCUUCUGGACCAUCAACUUCAUCCUCAUGUAGCUAACACUGUCCAGCAUUAUUGUUUGUGUAGGGUGCCACAAAUUUUAGAAAAUUUGUGAAUUAGAAAAGGGUGCUGUCGCUGAAAAAAAGGUUGGGAAAUACUGUUUUAGACAACUCGAGGUGAAUCAGACAACUUUCAUUCCCCUAUCAGCACUACAUGUUUGCUCCUGAGCUGUCAAAUGCAUUCUGCUGUUUCUUGUACAAUCCAAUUUUCACAGCUAAAUAUACGUGACCUCCCCUGACUGCCAGAGUGGAUGCUGUGAUCCCAUGUGGAUCUCUCACAAAGAGACUGUUGAAGAAAAAGAAAAAACAACCAGCGGUUCUGAUUCUCCAGGGCUCAUGUUCCCUGUCUAAGCAAGUCUUACUGUAAACAACAUCCCCUAGGGAAGUGGCUGUCACAAAAAAAAAAAGCAUGUGAUGCCUAAAGAGGAGCCCUAUAUGAUAUUGUGGUAGAGAGAGCUGAAAAUGGCACUGGAAACACAAUCCUUGGGAAAAAAAAAAAAAGAUACAAAGUUACUAAUACAUUAUGACUGUUAUCAGAGACAGAUAAAUUUGAUUGAUGAAGAUUUUUUGGAGUGAAAGGAAGUGUCUGGAAAAAGAAGAAAAAAUGAUAACUACAUGUUUGUCACACUCUUUAUGAUAGAAAGUGUCUUUUCUAAAAACUAAUUUCACUCCAUGCUUAAAUUAGCCUAGAUUUAAGGGCCAUAUGGCACCAUUUAUGGCGUACCAUGGACCGUUCCCAAUCAAUAUGUUUGGUGCUUAUUUCAUGUCAAAACCCCAUAAUUGAAUUUUAUCAUCAUUUUACAAUACGAAGAUAAAUCUACUUCUACAGCUCUGUGACUGGUCUGAUCCCAAACUCUUGUUAUAAUGUGCUUUAUGAUCAACUGUAUAAUAACCUGAGAGCGUAUGAGCUUAAAAUAACAACAAAACACAAAAUACGCUAUGUGGCCAAAAGUAUGUACACCCCUGACCAUCACACCCAUACUAUAUGUGGUUCUUCCCCAAACUAUUACCACAAAGUUGAAAGCACACAGAUGUAUAGAAUGUCUCUGUACGCUGUAGCAUUACAAUUUUCCUUCACUGGAACUAAGAGGCUCAAAGCUGUUCCAGCACGACACAAAGUGCACAAAGCGAGCUCUUCCAGACACGUGUGGCUUGUCUGUGUCCUGCACAGAGCCCUGACCUCAACCCCACUGAACACCUUUGGAAUGAACUGGAGCCUCCUCGACAUCCCAAAAUCAGUGCUUGACCUCAACCUCACUAACGCUCUUGUAGCUGAAUGAACACAAAUCCCCUUCCCAAAGCCUUUCCAGAAGAGUGGAGCUUAUUAUAACAGUAAAGGGGGAAUAAAUCAGGAAUGGAAUGUUCAACAAGGACAUAUGGGUGUGCACAAACUUUUGGCCAUAUAGUGUAUUAGAUCAGGUCUUUAUCUUCUCCAGGCCUUUAUCUGUGGUUUCUUAAUAUGAAAUAAGCACCGAGCGUAUUCACUGAAAACCACCGAAGAUGAAAUGCUAUGACUGAUGCUGCAUUUCUUCAUGCUCCUGCAAUAGCUCACCAUGUAAUAGAUCUAUCUGCUCUUCUAGCAAACAGACCUUCAGUACAUCUUUACUUCAUUAAUAUUUAAUCUUAAGUAUUGCUGUAAGCAUGUAGGAAAACUCUUUCUCAGUAACAAAGCACGGCCAUCAUACAGACUGCUGAAAUGAGUUCACAAGUAAUAUAUUGGGUUUUUCAUUCGUUUGACUGUUUUUAUGACUGACACAUCACAUGUUUUAUACAAAUGUAAUGUAAUGUUGCAGUUGUCCGACAUCUCUUCCGAUAUUAUGUACAUUAGCAAUAGGGCACAGAUCAUUACAUCUUAGCUUAGCAUAUUGUAAUUAGCUAGCGACACUGCAGAUUAGCAUAAUGAUAGUCGUUGCUAUGAAUCAUGAUUAACUAUUUCACCAUAACUUAAUUUACACGUAAUACACUGGAAGUGAAUAACAGAACUGCUUGUUCUAGAAGGUUCAAACCACGCAUUUUACAAGGAAUGGUGCUCAUGUGAAGCUAUCACAGCUAGCCAGCUCUACUAGCAGACUCACACCAAGGAAUUUGAACUGAAUUGACGCUCCCUCAUCAAACUCACUCCGGAUGACGCACUACAUGUGUUCCAGAUAAAAUCAGGAAUGUACCUCUUAUCUGGAUUCUAUAUUUAUACCAUUUGUGCUGGAAUGAAUAAAUGAAUGAAUGAAUGAAUAUACAUUAUUCACCAACUGUUAAAAGGAAUAUUUCUCGGCAAUACUUGGCUGAGAAGCAGUGUUGCCAUGGCAAUUCUGGCAAUGCUGACAGCGAUGGCCAUGUUUGAACCUAUUUGGAGAGUUUCUGUGAAAAGGACAUGGCAAACAAAGUUAAAAGCAAUUCAUGUGCUGCUUUCAGAAUAAGCAGCCACUCGUCUUCCACUGUUGGGCUUUUCAAGGGGAACAUAAAUGUACUGUACAUAUGGAGGCAAAAUCUCAAGUAAAGAACAAGGUAUUGAGCUUUUUGAUGCAAGUUUUACUUGACUAUACAUAGAUUUAAUAUGCGCACUGAGAAUAUAGUUUCCCUCAUUCUAUUAAAGUUGCACAUGCAGAGCAUUUUCUAAUUAUGACAGAAGGCAUUCCAGAAUGUAUAUAUAAUAGUUGCAUCAGGGCUCCAGAGUGGUAUCACACUCUAAUCCUAGCGAUGCUACAGCCAUCCGAGGCUGGGAGCCAAGGGAGCAGAACAUACAGACCUACAGUACAUAUUCUUGAUAUCUAGUGACACUGCAAAGUCCUAUUUGUUAGCAUCAUCAUAGGCAAGGCUAUCAAUUAUGGGGGUGGUAACUGGCCAAAAUGGUAACCAAAAUGGGGAUUUCACAAAUAAUAGUUUGAUACCAGUCAAAAUAUACAACAUCCAAAAUGGCUGACAUCUUGCUGAGCUAAUUCAUGGAUGAGGUUGUGAAUUUUGCUUGUCUUAAGAAAACAUGUAGCUCAAAUGGGUGCCAUAUUUGGUGCAUAGAGGUGAUACUGGAUGCCCAAGCCCCAAGGCCUCACUAUCGGCACAUACCAUGAACCACACAUUUUAAAUUUGUCCCACACAGCAUGAUGUUCAGUGCAAUUAUGUUACAUUUCCUGUCUGAGCGUUAAGUUUUUUUUGUUUGUUUGUUUUUUUAUCACCUCACCAUGGCAACACCAUGCAAGAUAUCAGCAUUGACUAAGCAAUUCAUCAUUAUGCAUUAUAUCUUCACUUUCUGUUGCCGGUUGGAGGCAGUAUGAAACCGAAUCACUACUGGCAUGUGUGUGUCCCCAUGCCCCAUCACUGAACAUGUAAUGUUAAAUUUUGGGCCACGUUGUAAGAUACAGUGGAAUUAUGCCUCACUUCCUGUUGGUGUGGUGUAACAUGUUAGUUGAUUGUCUGUCUCACUAUGGCAACGAUAUCAUGUCUAAGAUAUCAGAAAGUCCUUCACAAUUUAACAUCAUGGACCUCUUUGCAUCAUAUUGACCAAAUUUGUUUUGAAUCUCAUGAAUCCUCCAGAAAUUGUUUAAAAGUUUAAUACCCAUCAAGACACACAAAAUUCAAAAUGGCUGACUUCCUGUUGGGUGGAGUUAAUAUUAAGAAUAGAUGCAUUAACCAAGUUACUUAAGAGAAAGCACCUGCAGUAACAUAAAAAUGUGUAAGGGUGAACGAGGACACAUUUGAAGGAUCUUUUUUUUUAAUGAUUUCUUUUCUAAAUGUACAUUUUAUUUUAAUUCAUCAUUAGCAUAAAAUGUGCCAUACAGAGACCAUUGUGUCUUUGUGACAGAUUGCUUCUAACCUCGAUCACACAAGUGCUACUUUCGUAUCAUGAAAUUGACCUCUUGAUCUUAGCAAACCCUGUAGUUUUUUUUUUUUUUUUGUCAUCAGAUGGCCAGGAGCAAGCAUUUGGUAAAAGCAAUCACUCUGCAACUGCUCAAAAACAAACAAUCAAUCUCUUAUGUGAGCAGCGCACAUUGGAGUACAAGGAAGUAACUGACCUCUCCGGGAUUCACUUUUGCCUGUUACACAACCUGCUGGUGCUGUGUUUUCCUCUGGAGCAGCUGUCUCUCAUUUCAUCCACGGGAGUGGAAAAAAAACAUUCUUGGUCAGGUACCAAAGAUCACACCUCCCCUGAAAAUUCCCAUCAGUCCAUGAACUCUCAUGUUGCCCUGUGGCACCUGUUACUUUAGAAGCCAAGCAUACCGAGGCUGAGCUACUCCUUGGCCUUUGACCUCUCCAACACAACUACUCCAACACCCACACAGCAUUCAGUGAUCACCCAAAGGAGCACAACCAUAUUUAACCUCAGAGUCGGAUCAGCUGGUCAUUGCCAGGAAUGAGGACCAGGGGCUUCCCAAACAGACAAACACCCCCUGUUCCAGUGAAUGCCCCACAAAUGCCUCCAGCCCUAAAGCAUGUGAAGCCUUGGGUGACUCCUACAACAGCAUAACAAACACAGCACUAUGCUUUAGUGCACAGUGAAUAACUCAAGUUUUUCCAUGAAUACCACCUCUUAUGUGGUGUCCAAAACCGGAUACAAAGUUCCACUGGAUCACCUGCGGCCAUGCAAAAUAAAAUUUGGCAAAUUCUCUUUUUCUGCUUCUGAAUGAACCAG
Molecule: long non-coding RNA, 13157 nt
Organism: Ictalurus punctatus (channel catfish)
Lineage: Eukaryota; Metazoa; Chordata; Actinopteri; Siluriformes; Ictaluridae
Source: Ensembl